UACGAAGGGGGCUAGCGUUGUUCGGAUUUACUGGGCGUAAAGCGCACGUAGGCGGAUCGUUAAGUCGGGGGUGAAAUCCUGGAGCUCAACUCCAGAACUGCCUUUGAUACUGAGGAUCUUGAGUUCGGGAGAGGUGAGUGGAACUGCGAGUGUAGAGGUGAAAUUCGUAGAUAUUCGCAAGAACACCAGUGGCAAAGGCGGCUCACUGGCCCGAUACUGACGCUGAGGCACGAAAGCGUGGGGAGCAAACAGG
RNAcentral lists this ribosomal RNA (253 nucleotides) under uncultured bacterium. Its description in RNAcentral is "partial 16S ribosomal RNA". It matches the Rfam family "Bacterial small subunit ribosomal RNA", at positions 524 to 776 of the family's 1533-position model. The record is from RNAcentral.